This is a long non-coding RNA of Octopus bimaculoides (California two-spot octopus), 502 nucleotides long. NCBI's taxonomy places the organism in Eukaryota, Metazoa, Mollusca, Cephalopoda, Octopoda, Octopodidae. The record is from RefSeq and is a predicted model, not a curated record.
CUUUCACUCAAUGUCGACACUACUGCUACAUACACAAAACCAGACUAAGUAGGAAGAGAAGGUGGUCGACUUCGAUACCAUAAUCAUCAUCAUAAUCAUCACAAUAUCCACACUUAGCUAUUCUGUACACGUACAAAAUCUCACGUACAUACACUCAUAAUCAAGCUGCUGCUGCUACAUUUCGGGAUAUGAUAUUUUUUAAUACACACAUUUGUGCAAUAUCUAUACUACUUUUUGUCAGUACUAUGAGCAUUGGAUACGGCGCAGGACACUCCUCGUAAUCAACCUAUGAAAGCAACAUUAAGUCACGUCUUCUGCUUGAGACUUGAGAUGACACUUUGGUCAGAAUUCUUUGAGAACAUGUCUGGCCAUGAAGAAAUAUUAUUUUGCUUGAAAACCUGUGAGAGUUGGCAACAGGAAGGCCAUUUGGCCAUAGAAAAAUCUGGCUCAAUAAACUCUGUCUGACCCAUGCAAGCAGAGACAAGUGGAUAUCAAAAAGAUG